CCUACGGGGGGCAGCAGUGAGGAAUAUUGGUCAAUGGCCGGAAGGCUGAACCAGCCAUGCCGCGUGAAGGUCAGUGCCCUAUGGGCGUUAAACUUCUUUUGUGCGGGAGCAAUACUGGUCACGUGUGGCCAGACGAGAGUACCGUACGAAUAAGCAUCGGCUAACUCCGUGCCAGCAGCCGCGGUAAUACGGGGGAUGCAAGCGUUAUCCGGAUUUAUUGGGUUUAAAGGGUGCGUAGGCUGUGAGGUAAGUCAGCGGUGAAAUGCCCCCGCUCAACGGGGUGAAGUGCCAUUGAUACUGCCUGGCUGGAAUGCGGAUGCCGUGGGAGGAAUGUGUGGUGUAGCGGUGAAAUGCAUAGAUAUCACACAGAACACCGAUUGCGAAGGCAUCUCACGAAGCCGCGAUUGACGCUGAUGCACGAAAGCGUGGGUAUCAAACAGGAUUAGAUACCCUUGUAGUC
This 460-nucleotide ribosomal RNA is filed under the name uncultured bacterium. Its description in RNAcentral is "partial 16S ribosomal RNA". It matches the Rfam family "Bacterial small subunit ribosomal RNA", at positions 338 to 795 of the family's 1533-position model. The record is from RNAcentral.